RNAcentral lists this ribosomal RNA (439 nucleotides) under Facelina vicina. RNAcentral describes it as "partial 16S ribosomal RNA". It matches the Rfam family "Archaeal large subunit ribosomal RNA", at positions 1923 to 2676 of the family's 2987-position model. The record is from RNAcentral. Lineage: Eukaryota; Metazoa; Mollusca; Gastropoda; Nudibranchia; Facelinidae.
AGCCAACAGAAAAUAUUUUUGGUUUAACCUGCCCAAUGUGAAAUAUGAAUGGCCGCGGUACUUUGACCGUGCUAAGGUAGCGUAAUCAGUUGGCUUUUAAAUGGAGUCAGGAAUGAAUGGAAUAACCUGGUUUAGCUGUCUCUAAAUUAUUCAUUUGAAUUUACUGUUUAAGUGAAAAAGCUUAAAAUAGGAAAAGGGACGAGAAGACCCUUAGAAUUUUUUUUAAAAAGAAUUAACUUUAUGAUUUUGUUGGGGCGACAGAGAAAAAUUUAAAACUUUCCGUUAUUACAAGCCGAAUAUUUAAGUGAGGAUAAAUUACCUGAGGGAUAACAGCAUAAUUCUAAAAUUGAGUUUGUGACCUCGAUGUUGGACUAGGAAACUAGCAGAUCAGCCGUUUGCUGUGUGGGUUCUGUUCGAACUUUAAUUCCUACGUGAUCUG